AUGGUCACUCGUACCCGUGAUGCUACUCGUCGUGACAAGGAGUUUACUGAUGGGACGGUGCGGUAUAAUCCUCUUCGUCGCGCUUUCUUUGCGACACCGGUGUCACAUCCUGAUGCUCUCCAUGAGCCGGUGUGGCGUGCUGCUAUGGCUGCUGAGUUUGCAGCGCUUCGUCAAAACGGCACUUGGGUCUUGGUUCCUCGACCACCUGGCGUUAACAUUGUUGGCAGUAAGUGGGUUUUCAAAACGAAGCAACAUGUCGAUGGGUCUGUUGACAAACACAAGGCUCGCCUCGUCGCUCGUGGUUUUACUCAACAGCACGGUCUUGACUAUGGUGAUACCUUCAGCCCCGUGGUAAAGCCGACUACUAUCCGUUUGGUUCUUUCGCUUGCUGUUUCGCGCGGAUGGAGCUUGAGGAAGAUUGAUGUUAGCAAUGCAUUUCUUCAUGGCCUUCUUUCCGAGAUUGUUUAUAUGCAGCAACCACCAGGUUUUGAAGAUGCCCGGUUCCCUUUGCAUGUGUGCAAGUUGCAACGAGCUCUUUAUGGUCUCAAACAGUCGCCACGUGCUUGGUAUGCUCGUCUCAGUGCUCGCCUUCUUCAGCUUGGUUUUGUUGCUUCAAAGGCGGACGCCUCUCUAUUCAUCUUUGCUGCGCAUGGUGUUCAGAUAUACAUGCUUGUGUAUGUUGAUGAUAUUGUGAUUGCUGGCUCCACUCCGGCUGCAGUUGAUCGUUUGGUGCGAUCCAUCUCCGACAGUUUUCCUAUCAAGGAUCUUGGUCCUCUACAUUAUUUCUUGGGGCUUGAAGCGUCCUUCAAUUCAGGGGGCAUGACGCUGACUCAAAGAAAGUAUGCACUUGAUCUUCUUCAUCGUGUGAGUAUGGAGAAUUGUAGGCCUACCUCUACACCAUUAUCUGCCACCGAGCACCUGGCUCGUGAGGUCGGCACCCCUUUGGGUGUUGAGGAUGCCACUCGAUAUCGCAGCAUUGUUGGAGGACUUCAAUAUUUAACGCUCACUCGUCCCGACCUGUCCUUUGCAGUCAACAAGGUUUGCCAGUAUCUAUCACAACCAACUAAUGAGCAUUGGGAAGCUGUCAAGGAUAUAUUGCGUUAUGUCAAAGGGACUUUGAGUACGGGAUUGCAGAUUCGUAAAUCUCCUUUCACUGGUGUCAGUAUUUUCACGGAUGCUGAUCGGGCUGGAUGCAUUGAUGACCACCGUUCCACUAGUGGUUUUGCUGUGUUUGUUGGCUCCAAUCUUGUCUCAUGGAGUUCCAAGAAACAGCCAACUGUCUCCAGAUCAAGUACGGAGGCAGAGUACAAAGCUUUAGCUAAUGGAGCAGCUGAAGCAAUCUGGGUGGAGAUCUUACUCAAGGAGCUCGGGGUUUUCAAGCAGCGUACCGCCAUUCUGUGGUGUGAUAAUCUUAGGGCUACAUACCUGACGGCAAACCCAGUCUUUCACGCAAGAACCAAGCGCAUAGAGAUAGAUUUUCAUUUUGUGCGUGAGCGCGUUGCUUCUGGUGUUUUAGAUGUCAGGUUUAUCUCGACUAAUGACCAACUGGCUGAUGUAUUUACUAAACCGGCCACACGACAGAUGUUAGAACGUUUCCGGUCCAAUCUGAACCUUGUAUGUAGUAGUGGUUCAGAUUGA
RNAcentral lists this ribosomal RNA (1638 nucleotides) under Triticum aestivum (bread wheat). Its description in RNAcentral is "partial small subunit ribosomal RNA". The record is from RNAcentral. Lineage: Eukaryota; Viridiplantae; Streptophyta; Magnoliopsida; Poales; Poaceae.